This 375-nucleotide ribosomal RNA is filed under the name uncultured bacterium. RNAcentral's name for it is "bacterial SSU rRNA". It matches the Rfam family "Bacterial small subunit ribosomal RNA", at positions 523 to 897 of the family's 1533-position model. The record is from RNAcentral.
AUACGUAGGGAGCAAGCGUUGUCCGGAUUUACUGGGUGUAAAGGGUGCGUAGGCGGCUUAGCAAGUCAGGCGUGAAAACUAUGGGCUUAACCCAUAGACUGCGUUUGAAACUGUUGAGCUUGAGUGAAGUAGAGGUAGGCGGAAUUCCCGGUGUAGCGGUGAAAUGCGUAGAGAUCGGGAGGAACACCAGUGGCGAAGGCGGCCUACUGGGCUUUAACUGACGCUGAGGCACGAAAGCAUGGGUAGCAAACAGGAUUAGAUACCCUGGUAGUCCAUGCCGUAAACGAUGAUUACUAGGUGUGGGGGGUCUGACCCCUUCCGUGCCGGAGUUAACACAAUAAGUAAUCCACCUGGGAAGUACGACCGCAAGGUUGA